UGGGUCGGCAAGGCGAUCGCGGCAUCGGCAACGAUGACGAGGAACGUCCGGGCUCCACAGAGCAGGGCGGUGGAUAACAUCCACCCGGGGUAACCCGCGAGACAGUGCAACAGAGAAUAGACCGCCACCGGUUUUCCGGGGGUAAGGGUGAAACGGUGGGGUAAGAGCCCACCAGCGACCGGGGUGACCCGGCCGGCUUGGUAAACCUCGCUCGGAGCAAGAUCAGACAGGAAACCAUGGGGCUGCUCGUCCCGUUUCCGGGUAGAUUGCUUGAGCCCGUCGGCAACGGCGGGCCUAGAUAGAUGGUCGCCCAUGAGGGUUUCCCUCGGGACAGAACCCGGCGUAAGAGUCGGCCCAUUCC
Molecule: RNase P RNA, 361 nt
Filed under: Mycetocola lacteus
Lineage: Bacteria; Bacillati; Actinomycetota; Actinomycetes; Micrococcales; Microbacteriaceae
Description: Bacterial RNase P class A
Rfam family: Bacterial RNase P class A
About the family: Ribonuclease P (RNase P) is a ubiquitous endoribonuclease, found in archaea, bacteria and eukarya as well as chloroplasts and mitochondria. Its best characterised activity is the generation of mature 5'-ends of tRNAs by cleaving the 5'-leader elements of precursor-tRNAs. Cellular RNase Ps are ribonucleoproteins.
Source: Rfam by way of RNAcentral